GAUUUCAACUAAAAAAGUCAUCAACAACAAAGUUGUAUAACUCACCAAGAUCUAUAACUUUUAUGUUUGUCAUUUCUUCAUCUGAUAAAGUAUUAGUAAUAUUGUUCAUAAAAUUUACAUAUCUGUGUUAUAGUUUAUAAACCAGAUGAGAGAUAUGUGAAUUUUAUGAACAAUGUUAUUAUCACUUUGUCAGAUGAAGAAAUGACCAAAAUAAAAGUUAUAGAUCUUGAUGAGUUAUACAACUUUGUUGUUGGUGACUUUUUCAGUUGAAAUC
RNAcentral lists this microRNA precursor (274 nucleotides) under Oryza sativa Japonica Group (Japanese rice). RNAcentral's name for it is "MIR821 microRNA precursor family". It matches the Rfam family "MIR821 microRNA precursor family". Lineage: Eukaryota; Viridiplantae; Streptophyta; Magnoliopsida; Poales; Poaceae. The record is from Rfam by way of RNAcentral.